This 315-nucleotide ribosomal RNA is filed under the name uncultured eukaryote. RNAcentral's name for it is "partial 18S ribosomal RNA". It matches the Rfam family "Eukaryotic small subunit ribosomal RNA", at positions 1470 to 1796 of the family's 1831-position model. The record is from RNAcentral.
CCCUUCGAUGUUCGGAGCUGCACGCGCGCUACACUGACCAGUGCAACAAGCAUCCGUCCUUGGCCGACAGGCCCGGGCAAUCUUUGAACGCUGGUCGUGAUGGGGAUAGACUUUUGCAAUUUUUGGUCUUCAACGAGGAAUUCCUAGUAAACGCAAGUCAUCAACUUGCAUUGAUUACGUCCCUGCCCUUUGUACACACCGCCCGUCGCACCUACCGAUUGAAUGGUCCGGUGAAGCCUCCGGAUUGGCGCGCACCUCGGUGCCGCCGAGAAGUUGGCUAAACCUUACCAUUUAGAGGAAGGUGAAGUCGUAACA